GUUGUCAUGCCAAUGGCACGGCUGAGUAGCUAAGUUUGGACGGGAUAAGCGCUGAAAGCAUCUAAGCACGAAGCCCACCUCGAGAUGAGAUUUCCCUCAAUGAUAAGACCCCUUGUAGCCUACGAGGUUGAUAGGUCUCAGGUGUAAGUACAGCAAUGUAUGUAGCUAAGAGAUACUAAUCGGUCGAAGACUUGACCAA
RNAcentral lists this ribosomal RNA (199 nucleotides) under Aedoeadaptatus ivorii. RNAcentral describes it as "partial 23S ribosomal RNA". It matches the Rfam family "Bacterial large subunit ribosomal RNA", at positions 2720 to 2925 of the family's 2925-position model. Lineage: Bacteria; Bacillati; Bacillota; Tissierellia; Tissierellales; Peptoniphilaceae. The record is from RNAcentral.